RNAcentral lists this ribosomal RNA (535 nucleotides) under Diaporthe phaseolorum. RNAcentral's name for it is "eukaryotic LSU rRNA". The stretch from base 170 to 323 matches the Rfam family "5.8S ribosomal RNA". Lineage: Eukaryota; Fungi; Ascomycota; Sordariomycetes; Diaporthales; Diaporthaceae. The record is from RNAcentral.
ACGCGCCCCAGGCGCACCCAGAAACCCUUUGUGAACUUAUACCUUUUGUUGCCUCGGCGCAUGCUGGCCUCUAGUAGGCCCCUCACCCCGGUGAGGAGAAGGCACGCCGGCGGCCAAGUUAACUCUUGUUUUUACACUGAAACUCUGAGAAAAAACACAAAUGAAUCAAAACUUUCAACAACGGAUCUCUUGGUUCUGGCAUCGAUGAAGAACGCAGCGAAAUGCGAUAAGUAAUGUGAAUUGCAGAAUUCAGUGAAUCAUCGAAUCUUUGAACGCACAUUGCGCCCUCUGGUAUUCCGGAGGGCAUGCCUGUUCGAGCGUCAUUUCAACCCUCAAGCAUUGCUUGGUGUUGGGGCACUGCUUUUAACGAAGCAGGCCCUGAAAUCUAGUGGCGAGCUCGCCAGGACCCCGAGCGCAGUAGUUAAACCCUCGCUUUGGAAGGCCCUGGCGGUGCCCUGCCGUUAAACCCCCAACUCUUGAAAAUUUGACCUCGGAUCAGGUAGGGAUACCCGCUGAACUUAAGCAUAUCAAUAGC